Molecule: ribosomal RNA, 442 nt
Filed under: uncultured bacterium
Lineage: Bacteria
Description: partial 16S ribosomal RNA
Rfam family: Bacterial small subunit ribosomal RNA
Source: RNAcentral
CUACGGGGGGCAGCAGCAAGGAAUAUUGUACAAUGGGGGAAACCCUGAUACAGCAACGCCGCGUGAAGGAAGAAGGCCUUCGGGUUGUAAACUUCUGUUUUAGAGGACGAAUAAAGUGACGGUACUCUUAGAGGAAGCCCCGGCAAACUACGUGCCAGCAGCCGCGGUAACACGUAGGGGGCAAGCGUUGUCCGGAAUCACUGGGCGUAAAGGGCGCGUAGGCGGUUUAUUAAGUUGCAUGUGAAAUCCCAGGGCUCAACUCUGGACCUGCAUGCAAAACUGGUAGACUUGAGUAUGGUAGAGGCAAGUGGAAUUCCUAGUGUAGCGGUGGUAUGCGUAGAUAUUAGGAGGAACACCAGUGGCGAAGGCGACUUGCUGGGCCAAAACUGACGCUGAGGCGCGAAAGCGUGGGGAGCAAACAGGAUUAGAUACCCUUGUAGUC